This is a long non-coding RNA of Panicum virgatum (switchgrass), 251 nucleotides long. RefSeq lists it as uncharacterized. NCBI's taxonomy places the organism in Eukaryota, Viridiplantae, Streptophyta, Magnoliopsida, Poales, Poaceae. The transcript is spliced from 3 exons. The record is from RefSeq and is a predicted model, not a curated record.
UCUCUCUCUCUCUCUCAUUCCCAACUCUCGGGUUUUCUCUCUAGCCUACCAUGCCAAAACUCCAGAACCUAGGUAUUCAACCUUGGAAAUUUCGAUUUGAUCCGUAUAUCUUCAGAAGCAAGGAUGCCAAGGUGUGGUAAGGCUAGUAAACCAAGGUUGCCAAGUUCGAUGAAGAGGAAACUUAUAGGCAGAGGUAUUGGUUGCGUGAAAAUUAUGCAUUUGAUCCUACGACUCGUCAGAUCAGCAUUGGC